GCGCCGGUAUCCAAAUGGUGAAGGAAGCGGUCUGUAAAACCGUGACGUAAGAAACACUGUUGGUUCAAAUCCAACCCGACGCA
This 83-nucleotide transfer RNA is filed under the name bacterium. Its description in RNAcentral is "tRNA-Tyr". It matches the Rfam family "tRNA". From Rfam's summary of the family: Transfer RNA (tRNA) molecules are approximately 80 nucleotides in length. Their secondary structure includes four short double-helical elements and three loops (D, anti-codon, and T loops). The record is from RNAcentral.